Molecule: ribosomal RNA, 1704 nt
Filed under: Paenibacillus odorifer
Lineage: Bacteria; Bacillati; Bacillota; Bacilli; Caryophanales; Paenibacillaceae
Description: bacterial LSU rRNA
Rfam family: Bacterial large subunit ribosomal RNA
Source: RNAcentral
AUCUGGGGUAGGGGAGCGUUGUGUAGGGGUUGAAGGUGUACUGAAAAGAGCGCUGGACACUACACAAGUGAGAAUGCCGGUAUGAGUAACGAAAAGAUCAGUGAGAAUCUGAUCCGCCGAAAGCCCAAGGUUUCCUGAGGAAGGCUCGUCCGCUCAGGGUAAGUCGGGACCUAAGGCGAGGCCGAAAGGCGUAGUCGAAGGACAACAGUUUGAAAUUACUGUACCACCGUAAUCCGCUAUGAGCGAUGGGGUGACGCAGGAGGGUAGUGACGCGGACUGAUGGAUGUCCGUCUAAGCAGUGAGGCUGAUGUGUAGGCAAAUCCGCACAUCGAUAAGGCUGGGCUGUGAUGGGGAGCGAAAAUUAUAGUAGCGAAGGUCAUGAUCUCACACUGCCAAGAAAAGCCUCUAGCCAGGAGAAGGUGCCCGUACCGCAAACCGACACAGGUAGGCGAGAAGAGAAUUCUAAGGCGCGCGGAAGAACUCUCGUUAAGGAACUCGGCAAAAUGACCCCGUAACUUCGGGAGAAGGGGUGCCCCGGUAGUGUGAAUAGCACGAGGGGGCCGCAGUGAAAAGGCCCAAGCGACUGUUUAGCAAAAACACAGGUCUGUGCGAAGCCGCAAGGCGAAGUAUACGGGCUGACGCCUGCCCGGUGCUGGAAGGUUAAGGGGAGUGGUUAGGGGUAACCCGAAGCUAUGAACCGAAGCCCCAGUAAACGGCGGCCGUAACUAUAACGGUCCUAAGGUAGCGAAAUUCCUUGUCAGGUAAAUUCUGACCCGCACGAAUGGCGUAACGACUUGGGCGCUGUCUCAACGAGAGAUCCGGUGAAAUUUUAAUACCUGUGAAGAUGCAGGUUACCCGCGACAAGACGGAAAGACCCCAUGGAGCUUUACUGCAGCUUGAUAUUGAAUUUGGGUACGAUCUGUACAGGAUAGGUGGGAGCCGUAGAAAUCGGAGCGCAAGCUUCGGUGGAGGCGCCGUUGGGAUACCACCCUGAUCGUAUCUAGGUUCUAACCUAGUGCCCUAAUCGGGUACGGGGACCGUGUCAGGCGGGCAGUUUGACUGGGGCGGUCGCCUCCUAAAGAGUAACGGAGGCGUUCCAAGGUUCCCUCAGAAUGGUUGGAAAUCAUUCGCAGAGUGCAAAGGCAUAAGGGAGCUUGACUGCGAGACCUACAAGUCGAGCAGGGACGAAAGUCGGACUUAGUGAUCCGGUGGUACCGCAUGGAAGGGCCAUCGCUCAACGGAUAAAAGCUACCCUGGGGAUAACAGGCUUAUCUCCCCCAAGAGUCCACAUCGACGGGGAGGUUUGGCACCUCGAUGUCGGCUCAUCGCAUCCUGGGGCUGAAGUAGGUCCCAAGGGUUGGGCUGUUCGCCCAUUAAAGCGGUACGCGAGCUGGGUUCAGAACGUCGUGAGACAGUUCGGUCCCUAUCUGUCGUGGGCGCAGGAAAUUUGAGAGGAGCUGUCCUUAGUACGAGAGGACCGGGAUGGACGUACCGCUGGUGCACCAGUUGUUCCGCCAGGAGCAUGGCUGGGUAGCUACGUACGGACGGGAUAAGCGCUGAAAGCAUCUAAGCGUGAAGCCCCCCUCAAGAUGAGAUUUCCCAAUUAGUAAGACCCCUUGAAGACGACGAGGUAGAUAGGUUGGAGGUGGAAGUGCAGCAAUGCAUGGAGCUGACCAAUACUAAUCGGUCGAGGGCUUAUCCUAU